GACGAACCACACAAACGUUAUUCGGAAUUACUGGGCUUAAAGGGUGCGCAGGCGGCCUGACAAGUUGGGUGUGAAAUACCUCGGCUUAACCGGGGAAUGGCGCUCAAAACUGUCGGGCUUGAGGGAGAUAGAGGUGAGCGGAACUUAAGGUGGAGCGGUGAAAUGCGUUGAUAUCUUAAGGAACACCCGUGGCGAAAGCGGCUCACUGGAUCUCUUCUGACGCUCAGGCACGAAAGCCAGGGGAGCGAACGGG
This 253-nucleotide ribosomal RNA is filed under the name uncultured bacterium. RNAcentral describes it as "partial 16S ribosomal RNA". It matches the Rfam family "Bacterial small subunit ribosomal RNA", at positions 524 to 776 of the family's 1533-position model. The record is from RNAcentral.